RNAcentral lists this long non-coding RNA (509 nucleotides) under Monodelphis domestica (gray short-tailed opossum). Its description in RNAcentral is "lncRNA (ENSMODG00000032356.2)". Lineage: Eukaryota; Metazoa; Chordata; Mammalia; Didelphimorphia; Didelphidae. The record is from RNAcentral.
AUCAGGGAGUGAAUAGGAAGGACUUGAGAAGACCAGAGAGCAAACCCUGUAAGGGGGAGUGUAAAUUGGUAGGAGGAGUUCUAGUUGUGUAGAUUUAAGACUUUAUUUAUUAUUUCUCUACCCUAAUAAACUUUUUUUUUUUAAUAAUUGCAAGGUCAUGCUUUGCUGUCCCUGAAGAGGUCCCUAGAAAGAUAGGAAGCAACUUUUUCUAUAGGUGAAACAUAUUGCCUUCAAGAAAAUGUCUCAACUCGAGUAGAUGAAAAAUGGUUUAGCCUGAACAUUUAGAAGAGUGAAAAUACAUCAAAGGCCUAAGGAAAUGUCAUUGAAGGAAAUAACAGUAACUGCCUGCAGAACAUAACAGGUUUCAUUUUGAAAUAGAUUUUCAGGUAAGGUUUUUCUUGCCAUUUUUCAGAGAUACUUGAAGCAACUAUAAAAAUGGAAUUAGCUGGCUAACACACAGUUAUAUCAUUGUUUGUUUCCGUAUAACAUCAGGAACAUUUAACUGUCUU